This 253-nucleotide ribosomal RNA is filed under the name uncultured bacterium. Its description in RNAcentral is "partial 16S ribosomal RNA". It matches the Rfam family "Bacterial small subunit ribosomal RNA", at positions 524 to 776 of the family's 1533-position model. The record is from RNAcentral.
UACGUAGGGUGCGAGCGUUGUCCGGAAUUACUGGGCGUAAAGAGCUCGUAGGUGGUUUGUCGCGUUGUUCGUGAAAUCUCACGGCUUAACUGUGAGCGUGCGGGCGAUACGGGCAGACUGGAGUACUGCAGGGGAGACUGGAAUUCCUGGUGUAGCGGUGGAAUGCGCAGAUAUCAGGAGGAACACCCGUGGCGAAGGCGGUUCUCUGGGACGGUACUGACGCUGAGACGCGAAAGCGUGGGGAGCGAACAGG